This 561-nucleotide ribosomal RNA is filed under the name uncultured Actinomycetes bacterium. RNAcentral describes it as "uncultured actinobacterium partial 16S ribosomal RNA". It matches the Rfam family "Bacterial small subunit ribosomal RNA", at positions 356 to 916 of the family's 1533-position model. The record is from RNAcentral. Lineage: Bacteria; Bacillati; Actinomycetota; Actinomycetes.
GGNGAANAUUUCACAANNGGGCGCANNNCNGAUGNNNANNANCNCCGNGNNCGGNAGACGCUCUNCGGGUUGUAAACCGCUUUUAGUAAGGAAGAAGGGGAGCUUGCUCCUUGACGGUACUUGCAGAAAAAGGACCGGCUAACUACGUGCCAGCAGCCGCGGUAAUACGUAGGGUCCGAGCGUUGUCCGGAAUUAUUGGGCGUAAAGAGCUCGUAGGCGGUUUGUCGCCGUCUGCUGUGAAAUCCCGAGGCUCAACCUCGGGCCUGCAGUGGGUACGGGCAGACUGGAGUGCGGUAGGGGAGAAUGGAAUUCCUGGUGUAGCGGUGGAAUGCGCAGAUAUCAGGAGGAACACCGAUGGCGAAGGCAGUUCUCUGGGCCGUAACUGACGCUGAGGAGCGAAAGCGUGGGGAGCGAACAGGAUUAGAUACCCUGGUAGUCCACGCCGUAAACGUUGGGCGCUAGAUGUGGGGACCUUUCCACGGUUUCCGUGUCGUAGCUAACGCAUUAAGCGCCCCGCCUGGGGAGUACGGCCGCAAGGCUAAAACUCAAAGGAAUNGACGG